Long non-coding RNA from Equus caballus (horse), 1258 nucleotides. Lineage: Eukaryota; Metazoa; Chordata; Mammalia; Perissodactyla; Equidae. The record is from Ensembl.
ACUAAAGAAGCUUGAAAUUCAUUGACAAUGAACCACAGCCAGAUCACAAUUCUCUUAUGAAGUUUUGACCAGGGCAACCUGAAAAAUUAGGUCUCGAUGUCUUAGAGUUGCAUCUGUCUCAGUGAGCGUGCAUCCUUCUAUCAUCGAACCAGAAAGAUUAGUCAUUUGUGAAAACCUUCAGCCCAGGUGACCUGCUUGAAGGAGAGCUGCAAUGCAAGUUAUCUCCCAGGGUGGGAACUGUGGACUGCAAAGUCACAGAAUCUGAAGUUGGCAACUGACUUGGCAGUUUUCCAGCAAGUGAUAUGUGCUCUUCAGUGUGGAAAUCAAUUUUGUUCGCAAAGAGUUAAAGUAAGGAUUCAACGAGAUAAUGUUUAUAAAUCACAAGUCAUAGCCCUUGGAGUAGAACAGCCUCCCAGUAAAUGCCAAAUUAUUAUAACGGUCAUCAUCAACAUCGACAAACUACUGUUGUCCGGCAACCUCACAAGAAUUCUUUGUGUGAGCUUGUACUUUGACCACUGUUUUGAACGCUUGAAUGCAUGCUUUAAGUCGAAUCCUUUGGCCUGAUUUCUUUAGCUGACUUUAAUUGCUUGGGCAAACUGCAACCAUUCGUGUUCGCAAUCUUUCAUUCAUACAACCUUUCAGAAGCAUCCAAGAAACUUAGAGACUCCUCUAAGGAUGAUUAUAAGACCAGUGUCAGAGGGCUAGAGAGAAAUCUUCGAAUGUGAUGAUCCUGUCUGUUUCUGUAAGUCUCAGAAUCAUCCAGUGAACCAACAGCACUCAUUUCACUUAAUGUGCAUGUGAGGUUUUGAAGAAUUUCUUUGAAUUAGAUAUUAAAGGAAAUCUAUGUUAUUUUUGAAAAACAUUUGUUUACAUAGAAGAAGUUUUCCAAAAUUGAUUAGAAUUCUUUAUUUUCAUCAUUACUGGUAGACACGUUAGAAUUUAGUUGAAAAGCUUAGAAAAUUAUCAUACUCUCGUCUUUUGGAAGUUGUGGUUUAAAAAAUAACUGAUGCGUAUAGUCUUGUGGGAAGGUAGGGUAAGAGUUGAUGCAGUUUUCCUAUUCUAUUUGGGUCAGAAUUUUCAUCGAAUUAGAAUUCUGUAUGAAUCCCUUACAGGUAUUAUAAUUUAAAUUGACUAUUACUACUUUGUUAUACUGAGGAGUAGCUCAUUUUCUGAGCUUUUCCUUGGCUCAAUGCAAUAUAUUUUAGUUAUUUUCACUGAAAAAUCAUGACCUAUGCAAUUAAAAUAAAUCUGCUGAGUA